This 422-nucleotide ribosomal RNA is filed under the name uncultured bacterium. RNAcentral's name for it is "bacterial SSU rRNA". It matches the Rfam family "Archaeal small subunit ribosomal RNA", at positions 322 to 746 of the family's 1478-position model. The record is from RNAcentral.
CCUACGGGGGGCAGCAGUCGCGAAAACUCCGCAAUGUGGGAAACCACGACGGGGGAACUCCCAGUGCGUGCACUUUGUGUACGCUGUUCUCGUGCCUAAAAAGCACGAGAAGUAAGGGCCGGGUAAGACGGGUGCCAGCCGCCGCGGUAAUACCCGCGGCCCGAGUGGUGCUCAUUAUUAUUGAGUCUAAAACGUCCGUAGCCGGUCGGGUAGAUUCCUGGGUAAAUCGAACCGCUCAACGGUUCGAAUUCCGGGGAGACCGUCCGACUUGGGACCGGGAGAGGCGCGAGGUACUCCUGGGGUAGGGGUAAAAUCCUGUAAUCCUGGGAGGACCACCAGUGGCGAAGGCGUCGCGCUAGAACGGAUCCGACGGUCAGGGACGAAGCCCAGGGGCGCAAACGGGAUUAGAUACCCCAGUAGUC